Molecule: ribosomal RNA, 460 nt
Filed under: uncultured bacterium
Lineage: Bacteria
Description: partial 16S ribosomal RNA
Rfam family: Bacterial small subunit ribosomal RNA
Source: RNAcentral
CCUACGGGUGGCUGCAGUGAGGAAUAUUGGUCAAUGGCCGUAAGGCUGAACCAGCCAAGUCGCGUGAAGGAGGAAGGAUCUAUGGAUCGUAAACUUCUUUUAUAGGGGAAUAAAGAUAUCCACGUGUGGAUAUUUGAAUGUACCUUAUGAAUAAGCAUCGGCUAACUCCGUGCCAGCAGCCGCGGUAAUACGGAGGAUGCGAGCGUUAUCCGGAUUUAUUGGGUUUAAAGGGUGCGUAGGUGGUUUUUUAAGUCAGCGGUGAAAGGUUGGGGCUCAACCAUAAAAUUGCCGUUGAAACUGGAAGACUGGAGUGUGUGUGAGGUAGGCGGAAUGCGUGGUGUAGCGGUGAAAUGCAUAGAUAUCGCGCAGAACUCCGAUUGCGAAGGCAGCUUACUAAGCCAUAACUGACGCUGAAGCACGAAAGCGUGGGGAUCAAACAGGAUUAGAUACCCGAGUAGUC